AUUGAACGCUGGCGGCAGGCCUAACACAUGCAAGUCGAGCGGAUGACGGGAGCUUGCUCCUUGAUUCAGCGGCGGACGGGUGAGUAAUGCCUAGGAAUCUGCCUGGUAGUGGGGGGCAACGUUUCGAAAGGAACGCUAAUACCGCAUACGUCCUACGGGAGAAAGCAGGGGACCUUCGGGCCUUGCGCUAUCAGAUGAGCCUAGGUCGGAUUAGCUAGUUGGUGGGGUAAUGGCUCACCAAGGCGACGAUCCGUAACUGGUCUGAGAGGAUGAUCAGUCACACUGGAACUGAGACACGGUCCAGACUCCUACGGGAGGCAGCAGUGGGGAAUAUUGGACAAUGGGCGAAAGCCUGAUCCAGCCAUGCCGCGUGUGUGAAGAAGGUCUUCGGAUUGUAAAGCACUUUAAGUUGGGAGGAAGGGCAGUAAGCUAAUACCUUGCUGUCUUGACGUUACCGACAGAAUAAGCACCGGCUAACUCUGUGCCAGCAGCCGCGGUAAUACAGAGGGUGCAAGCGUUAAUCGGAAUUACUGGGCGUAAAGCGCGCGUAGGUGGUUUGUUAAGUUGGAUGUGAAAGCCCCGGGCUCAACCUGGGAACUGCAUCCAAAACUGGCAAGCUAGAGUACGGUAGAGGGUGGUGGAAUUUCCUGUGUAGCGGUGAAAUGCGUAGAUAUAGGAAGGAACACCAGUGGCGAAGGCGACCACCUGGACUGAUACUGACACUGAGGUGCGAAGGCGUGGGGAGCAAA
RNAcentral lists this ribosomal RNA (749 nucleotides) under uncultured bacterium. Its description in RNAcentral is "bacterial SSU rRNA". It matches the Rfam family "Bacterial small subunit ribosomal RNA", at positions 28 to 772 of the family's 1533-position model. The record is from RNAcentral.